Molecule: long non-coding RNA, 4930 nt
Organism: Centrocercus urophasianus (Greater sage-grouse)
Lineage: Eukaryota; Metazoa; Chordata; Aves; Galliformes; Phasianidae
Exons: 3
Source: RefSeq, a predicted model, not a curated record
GGUGUAAUUUGGGGGCUGUGUUUGUUUUGGGUGCCCCGUAGGACUGUAGUGAGCUGCAUGAAGAUGUCCUGUGGGGCUGUACUGGAGCGUUGGGGUUGUAGGACCUGAAGUGGGAUGUAAUUUGGGGUUGUAGUGGUGUGAGGCUAUGCCUAUGGGGCUGUGGGACUGUGAAGCCCUGUGGGGUGGCAUUGGGUAGUGGACACCGUAGAGACUGGGAUAGGACAUGGAUUGUGUCUGCAAGGCUGUACAGAGGCUGGCGGAUCCAUACCAAGGGGCUUUAGGGGAUGCUCUGAAGGGCUGCAGUGGAUUGUAGGGUCAAGGGGACACUCCACGAGCUGUGUGGGGAAGGGGCUGAAGCAAAACCCAAGCAUGAUGUGACUUCGUCCAGCUCCUGCACUGAUCCCUGUUGAAAGCAAGUGAGAGUGCUGCAACAAAAUCUGGCUGAGGAUGAAACAUUCUUGCAGCAGCCUUGGAGGCUGAACGUCAGCUGAGGAUCUCAAAAGUGAGGAGGAACAGCAAGUGCUUUGUCUCAAGACCCUUUUUUGGGACCUGAGGGAAUGGUGCUUCUACUGCAGCAGCACAGCAGAAACUUGCAUGCGAGGAGAAAAUAUUCUACCUUGGCAUUUGGAGCCUCACUAACAAGCAGCCAGAGAGGAGCGAUGCCAUAUAAAACUGUAACCUCUAAAUAUGAAAUUUUGGAGAUCGCAAUGAGCGGCGAGUGCCAGCUCCAUGCCGGCAGCAGGGAGGAGGCAGAGGGAACGCCAUCAGCUCAUUACUCGCUGCUGCACAGAGCACAUAGCCCCAGGAGUUUCUCUGCCCAGUGUCCUGUUACCACUUGAAUCAAGAUGUGAAUGCCAAGCCAGCUUAUUUUUAGCAUGAUUUGGACCUAAAGAAGCAAACGCUGGUGAAAUACAUAGUACUGACAGCUCUGGAAAAUCUUUAUUCAUCUGCAGCACAGGAAGCAGGGAAGGAUGCAAGAAAGCAAAGCAAUCCCAAGCUACAAACGAAGUUUCCCUAGCACUGCACAGAUCCUGGCAGUAGCUGGGAGAGGGUUUUUCCACGCUAAGAGCAGGCCUGGCACGGCAGGGAGGAGUGCGGUGUGCCGCAGAUUUGGACAGCCUGCAAGCCUCCAGCUGAGCUCACUGCGUCUGUUGGAGCUCAACUGCAGCAGCAGUGGGGCUGUAAAAAUGGGAGAGACUCGGAAAACUUGAGUAUCUGAGCCCUGCUCUGCUAAGCUCUGUGAGUUUACUGUGUUAAUACAACAUUGGCUCUGUGCAAAUGGGCGGUCCAGUGGUACUGAUGCUGCCCUGUACCACCUCUAGCAGUCACUCAGACCCUCUGCUCUGUGGAACAACCCAAAAAGAGGACACUUAUGACACAACCAUCAUGCCAAGCAGGCAUGUUUCUAUCCACGUCUCUUGGGUCACUGCUGAAAUCCUCCAGUGCCUUUAGGCAUCUGCAGGACCUGAGCUGGCUGGGGACUUGUAGAUCCCUGCAGGCAGCAGUUGGCUGGAGUGGAGAUGGGGCCGUGAAGGGGAGCAGAGUAGCAAAAAUGGGUCCCUUCGGCUUUUGGGGCACAGCUAGGAGGUCCCUGGAUGUGUGCCGGGAACAGUAGCUGGGGUUGUUGAAGGUGGACCACAGGAGAUGUCCCUGCAUUUCUCUGCCAGGAGGAUGCACACACAGUGUUAACACGCUUGUCAUCAGUAGGUCUGAAAUCUAACCACGGACAGCUCAGGGAUCUGACAAUUGUUUGUGUCUGCCUCGAGACAAAUAUCUCAUUGCCCCCUUUGCAAAUUUGCUCCUCUGCUGCGUGUGUGUUUCGAGUUUCCUCAUGCAAAACCUGCGUGGGUGUUUGGAUAUGUAAUGAGCACAUAGUUCAGGAUGAAAACAAGUUGCCUGGAAGAGCCAAGUAACGCCAAAAAAAUGAAAGCAAUACAAACAACAACAUGGCACACAGCCAUACCAGCUAGACCGUGGGCCAGCCGGAUCUCACGUACUCUCCGGAGCUGCAGAGCCGAUCAGCUGUUGGAAAAAGGGACCUUUAAAGACAAGUGAGAGGAAAUAGCAUUGGCAGUGCAGGUCACAGCAUGUUUCCUUCCAAAGCAGGACAGAGCCAAGGACAUGAGGCAGAGCUGUAACAUUCGGGGUCUCAUUGCUCAGCAAGUCAAAAACCUCCAGUGGGUUGUAGUUGUGUAAGUGCCUAUUGUUUUCUGAGCAGAAUCAGAGCACUGGUCUGAUUGGGUAUUGUCACAACAGAUUUUGGCAAUGCUUGCUCACCUAAGUGAGCUCCCUCUGCAAAAUGAAGCCCUGGCUUUAACUCAGUGCUCCGUGUUGGGGAAAUAAACCUGCCUGCCUACACAACUCUCUGACUGAAGAGUAUCUUCCAAGACCUCCCAUAGGAACUUUGAAGAAAAGCACCAUUAGCCUAUGGACCAGAGCAAUUCCAAAAAAUUCCCUGAAGUGGCCUCACUAAUUAUUAUCUCAUUUUGGUAAUGUGAAUGAGGAAAAAAUAGUGGUGAAGCUGUUUUGAAAUGCAUUUUCUGCAGAGCCUGAAUGAAUUUCAGUAUAGAAAGGGGGGUGAGAGCAGGCCUCAAAGACAGGUUACGUAAUUUUUCCCUUGCCCUCAUCCAUUUGGAGCAAGGGACCAUCUGUACCUCCUUAUAAUGCAGAGAAACAGUACUUCUUUCAGCAUAAGAAAAUAGGUCUAGUUGUGUAGACUCUGAACUAAGCAUCUGCUCUAGCCCAUUCACUUAAAUACCUGUCUGAGAACUCUUCACCAGCUCUUAGCGCACCUGUUCAUUGGUUAAAGGCUUGAAUCAGUGAAAUCUCACUGGCAAUCUGGAAGGUUGAAAGGGGCCUUAAAUACCAGAACUUCCAUAUGCAUAUUGGCAUUUUUCUUUGCAUAAAUGCCAGCUUUAAGAGGCUUGUUUUACAAAGCACAAACACAGUUCUAUGAUGAUUUUUUUUUUUUUUUUUUUACAUCAAGGUCAGUAACUCAGCUUCAUUCAUCAGUCUCCAGCUGCAAACAUGUCCCAGACAAUGGAGGAGAGUGAGCCAGGAAGUGCCGUUUAAGGGGAUGUGAGUGGCUCUGAACUGCACUGGGGAAAGAGGAUCUUGGUGCCCUUGUGCACUUGGCCCUUCACGAACUGAAAUAGGGCGCUUGAGGGCAGGAAAAGCUGCUUAGGUGGCACAAAUAACACUCGCACUUGGUGAGCUUCAUUAAAGGCACCUCUCAAAUGUCACCGCUGUGCUGUCGACUCUGGUGUGAUGCAGCCAACAUUGUGCUCCUCUCCACAAAGGCAGUGAGCGCUCUUAGGAAGCAGACAAGAUAAUCUCAGCUAAAAAUACUUAUUCUUCCCCUGGGAGGUGCAUGCAUCCUGUGCACGGUGCUCUCACGGCGACGUGCUUGCACACCCAGUGCACUCUGCUCAUCUUUCACUUCCGUGCUUCUCCUCCUUCCAAGUGAAGCGCUUGGGCAUUGUGAUUAGUGCUCUGAAUCACCCAGAGAGGAUGCUCCGUCCUGUGUUUCAGAUGCAAAAUGUGCCUUGGAAUUCAAUUGUUGCUAUAGUGCUGUAAUUACACAUUUUAUGGAGUAGUUAGUCAGAAUGGCUAGAGCUCUUGUUAUUAGGCUUGGACUCCUUCUGCUUUAUUUUAAAGACCUCUCUGAUAAAGAUCUACUCUCUGCAUUAAAAAUAGUUUUUUUCAGCUUUUGUGUCCCUUCAAAUGUAGCCACAGUUCAUGGCUGAAGGAAAAUAGGUCCCCAGCCAUGUGGAGGGACAGAGUUUGUAGCAUGCUUUUUGCAACAUAGGGGUUAUGGUGCUCUGGCUUUUGGUGCUCCAAAAUGUUCCUCAAAGUCAGCUGCAAUGACAACAGCUGAGUACUUCCAGGAUUCGGGAGUUCUUGAGCACUGAUCUCAGCGACUUUGCUGUCUGUGGUUUGGAGAGGACUUGCACAGCCUGCUCAGGGCACCCAUACCAACCAGGAUCGUCUUCUUCCCUUCAGCAGUAUGGAGGAAGUGGACUCUUUGGAUGCUUCUUCUAGAAGAUGACAGCCUACCACAAUGGGACACGGUUUUGGUGAGGAUGAAUCCCUGUACCAAGGUGUUGCUGUUCUUAUACCCACUCUAGAAGAAGCUCAGCAGUAUUGCAAGCAGCUGAGAUAAGCAAGAUAAGCACCAUCCUUGACAUCCCUACUCUGGUCAGCAGGGAUACUCACCACCCUACACCAUAGGGUUGGCCUUUCCCCUGUUAACCACAUUUUCUGCCCAGGUUUCCCUAUCUGGAGAGUGGAGCUAACUGCUUAAUUGCCUACUUUCUAAGGAGUCAGGCAGGAUAAUUAGCUAAUGUUUGGGUAAUGCGUCAUAGGGUAAGAGUGCUAAGUAGUAUUACUGUCAGCAACACAGUGGGAAGUGAAGAACUCAAUCUUGUUUUUCAGUCGGGAAUGUCACGGUCUUCCCUUAAGCUCAUUGUUCACAUUGAUUGCUGAGGGCAGGGGACUUGGGUGAAAAGUUUCAAGGAGGAGAAUGCCAAGGACAGCAGAAAGCUGUUUGCAAUCCAGGAGAAGAGCUAUGAGAAUAGCUUGGUGUGCUUUGGAAAGAGAAAACUGAAAAUGAUGACAAAGGCAGGGAACACGCCUGGGGCAGCACAGAAAGGACUCGUGUCUGUAAGCUUAAUUAUUCAAUAGCAACAUCCUCUGAGUCAUAAAAGUGCAUCGGGGAAAGUUUCUUGUGUUGCAUUUGUUGCAUGCAUGCAGCACUGUGGGAAGCAUGAUACAGAAACCCAUCUAGCUCUCCCUGGGGACUGAAGUAGACUCAACCUAAAAGAGAUUUAGCAUCUUUAAUUUCUAUUAUUCUGCAAAUUACGUUACAGAUGAACUUUAAACCCUUCUCAUGUCCGUUGAUCAUAAUUGAUGAGAUUUCAAUUGUGCCUCC